ACUUAUUGGAAGCAAAAGAAAGGUCAUAAAUCCACUAAAAAAUGGGUGAAUGAUAAAGCAGUUGCUUCUAAUACUUCAUAAGAUAUUCUUUCAAAUUUAGUCCUUGGAGAGAGUUAACACCCAUUAGUAUUCUAGUUCUAAAACUAGAUAAGAAAGAAAUCUCCACUAAAAUCUAGCAUGAACAAGGAAUGAGUUAUAAGAGUGGCUGAUCUUUUUUCUAGGUGGUUGUGGAAAUCAUUAGUGCAAUAAGUAAUUUCUGGCUUUUCUUCUUCUAGGCACAUGAGAUUACCCUUCUUGACAUCCACUAAAAUUAGCAUGUACAUAUGAUUUUCCUUAGUCAAUAAAUUUGAUCAGAAGUGACACAUUAUCGUUUCCAAGGAGAAGCUUUAAUAGUCUGGGUACUACCUGCCAUUUUACCUUUUCCUUGCUGCAAUGAUAGAAGAAUGACGGUGGAAUCCCCUCCUCAGUCAGUAUCCUUAAUGAGGAUGAUGUAGAAGAGUCUUCAGCUAACUCACAACAGACAUGUUAUAGGAGGGAGUAACAAACUUGUCUUGUUUUGAGCCAUUAAGGUUUAUUACUGUAGCACAGUCAAUCUUAUCCUGACUGAUAGCAUAACUUAUUAAUGUCAAGAUGGGAUUCCAUAUGCCAAGAUGUGAGAUGAAGACUGAAAACAGAAUGAAUGGUUAAACUGAAACAUCUUCAGAUAUGAACUGUAAGUAUAUUAGAUCAGGUAUUUUGUUUCUUAGACUGGCGGGUAAAGAAUCAGGCUUGAAAAAUCCUUCAAACAUCUUGCUGAGUUGAUAAAUUUUUUCCUUUUCUUUCCACCCUUGGUAUCUCUUAUUCAUUCAAACUCUAUGCAUUAUUUUCAAAUUUUGAAAAUUUUAUACUGAUCACAGACUCUACUAAAGUCUUAACUACCAAAAAAACCUAGUGAUGGAUUCUGGUACCUCUCUAUAUAAUAUUUUAGAUUGAAUAUUAAAAUGUCAUUUAUGUCCUCUUCUAUUCAUAUUUAGGCUUAUAUUGCUGUUGGUAUGUCGAGAGAGUCAUGAUAAAAAAUCAUAUAUCUGGCAUUUUUUUUUUUUUAGUCAGCUUUUUUGCUGCUGUGACUAAAAGACCUGACCAGAGCAACUGUAGAGGAGGAAAAGUUUAUUCGAGGGCUCACAGUUUCAGAAGUCUUAGUCCACAGAAGUCCAGCACCAUUCCUUAGGGCUCCAAGUGAGGCUGAACAGUACAAGGGAAGAAUGUGGUGGAAGGAAGUGGCUCACACAAUCAGGAAGCAGAGAGAGAGACUUCACUCUCCAGAUACAAAAUAUAUACCCAAAUCCACACCCUCCACCCACACCCUACCAACCUUCAGUUACCACUCAGUUAAUCCCUAUCAGGUGAUUAAUUCACUGAUUGGGUUAAGACACAACCCAAUCAUUUCCCCUCUGAACUUUCUUGCAUUGUCACACACAUUAGCUUUUGGGGGACAUCUCACAUCUAAACCAUAACAUUACACUCCUGGCCCCUAGAAGUUCACAACCAUCUCACAAUGUAAAGUACUUUUUGUUCAAGAGUUUUCAUGGUCUCAACAGUUCCAAGAUUGCCCAAAAGUUCAAGUCCAAAGUCUCCUCUGAGACUCAGGGCAACCUUGCAUUGUGAGCUCCUAUAAAAUCAGAAGCUAUUUACAAGUAUCCAAUAUAUAAAGGUACAAAGUAACAUUUCCAUUCACAAAUAUAGGGGCAUUGAAAAAAGAAUAGGACUAAAGCAAGACCAAAAUUCAGCUGGGCAAACAAGUCCUGUAGCUCCAUGUCCCGCGGGCAUCAGGAGUACAUAGUAUCAUGAUAUUCUCUUCAAAGGGCUUGUGUAGCUCUGUCCCUUUGGCCUUGUUGGUUGCAGCCCAAGUGGCCUUUCUGUUGGCUUGUCUCUGUUUGAUUUCUGCAAGUUUCCUAGGACAAUGUCUCAUGUUACUGGCAUUUCUUUUUUCUUUUUAAAUAUAUUUUUAGUUGUUGAUACACCUUAAUUUUAUUUAUUUAUAUGCGGUGCUGAGAAUCAAACCCAGUGCUUUACACAUGCCAGGCAAAUGUGUUACAGCCCCAGCCCCUGGCAUUUCUUAAUCUGGGGGGUUGUUAGGUAAGUUUGAGGUGGCUGAGCCACGCAUCAGAUGAGAGGCCACCAGCCAGGCGAAGACUGGCAAAUUGACUUCACUCACAUGCAUAGGCACAAAAAGCUUCGCUACCUACUUACUUUAGUUGAUACUUUUUCAUGUUGGAUGGACGUCUUCCCUACCUCCAGAGAAACUUCUGACUCUGUCGCUUCCAUCCUCAUUGAGCAGAUCAUUUCCAGAUUUGGACUUCCCACCUCCAUCCAGUCAGAAGCCAUCACUUCUCAGGUUGUUCAACUGGUCUCCAAAGGCCUCAACAUCACUUGGAGACUCCACAUCCCCUACCGAUCUCAAUCCUCGGGUGAGGUUGAGAGGGCUAAUGGCAUUCUCAAGGAUCAUUCUGCCAUUGGCCCUCACCCGAAUUCAGGCAGUUCCUAGAGUCCCCUCAGGCCUUAGCGCCUUUGACUACUCUAUGGGCGCCCUUUCUUAAUCAACCAAAGCUUUCCAAUCACUCCUCCUCCCCUUGUGUCCUACCUGCCCUAUCUCACACUUCUACACAAACUCCUAAGGGAACACACAGACCGGUGCCUUCCUGUGCCAUCUGUUACCUCAAUCCCAGUGCAACCACAAACCAAAUAGGCCCCUCUUCAACCGGGUGAUGCAGUCUUACUUCGAGAGCCGCAUCCUCAAUCAUUGGUUGGAAUCUCGCUGGACGGGGACCCCAUACAGUCAUACUUACUAUCCCAACAGUUGCCAAACUUUUGGGCCACUCCCCCUGGUACCACGUCUCCCACCUUAAAAAAGGUGCCUGCUCCAAAUGUCCAGUCCUGAACUUCCACCACGCUGGGACCCACCAAACUCAAGAUUUAUUGCCAACCGUCUUCUUCUUUUACUAAUAGUUAAUCUCUCUCAAGCUCCUAUCCCAACCCAUAGAUGGCGCUUCUGAAUCCAAGUGACAUGGCACCAGGAUGGCACCACACACUCUCAGUUUAUGGGUCAAGGCAAUUGCCCUUCCACUGGCUGCAAUUGGGUGGUCACCCUUAACAUUAUUGGAUUCAACCAAGCCACCUUGUCCCACCUAUGUGCAGCAAUGCUAUACUUCAUAACAGACUAAACUGAGGAAUCUUGUAAGCGCUGGCCUAAUACCUAUGGUGGGGUGCCCUUAUAACUCAUGCAAGAAACGCUUCCUAGAUAAGCCUUGCUAUGAGAAACAAACAUACACCAAAUUAACUACUUAGGACCCAUGGGACCCAAAAUGGGCUUCUGAUGUUGAUGGUAAAUUUUAUUCUUGGGGUUUUACCAAGCUCUCCUGGGCCUCUAUCAGAAUCUGGAGAACUUAUGCACAGUGCUCCCUCAGAUUUACAUAACCAUCCAGGAGCAACAGAAAGAACUCCAACACCAGCUAGAUGCAGCUGCCUAUCCUAAAGCUGACCCUUUCUCAUGGAUGGCCCAAAUAUGUCAGGGCCUUCAGCUUCUCAAUUUAUCCAAAGUUAAUAACAUUUCAGAUUGUUUCCUCUGCACAGGUUUGGAUUAUACUCCUUUAACUUUGAUAUCCAUUGACCUUCCUCACAAUACCUCAACCAUACCCCAAGGGCCCCCCUCUCCAGCCUUUGAGAAAGUACCUCUUUUUCGUAACUCAUCAGGGAGUUACACUUCCUCUUCCUGCUACACUUCUUCUGGUAUGGUAACCUGUGACCAGAUCAUUAGAAAUCUCUUCCCCAACCUUUGCUCCUGCGGGGUUCUUUUUCUGGUGCAAUGGUACCCUAACAAAAAAUCUAAGCCUCAGCAUGCCCUUUGCUUUUUGUGUUUCUUCCACAUUGGUACCUCAAUUAAUUCUGUACAGUGAGGCUGAAUUAACAUGGCUUGUUACCACCUCCCUUUCCAGGGCAAUAUGGGUUGUCUUUCUACCAGUAGUAGUUGGACUCUCCCUGGCCUCCUCACUUGCUGCCUCUGGACUGGGGGCAGGAGGACUUGGUUAUGUAGUAACCGCUACUCAGAAGCUUGAACAACAACUUCUGGAAGCGGUAGAGGCAUCGGCUGCCUCUCUCAUUUCCCUGCAAAGGCAAAUAACACCUAUUGCCCAAGUUUCAUUACAGAACUGUGGAGUCCUAGAUCUCUUGAUAUGCUGCUGCUAUAUCAAUGAAACUGGAUUGGUUGAAAAGAAUGUUAACACCCUCUAUCAUUUGGUUAAAAGUCUUAAACAGCAAUAAUCAAAUGACCCUUGGCCAGGCUGGCUAAACUCUACCCUCAUUACAUGACUAACUCUCAUUCUCACUCCUAUAUUAGUAAUAGGACUUCUAUUAAUGAUUGCUUCCUGCCUCCUCAGGUUUGCCCGAAAGCACAUGGGUGAAAUUGCCAGAGUGACCUACAACCAGAUGCUCCUAUACCCCUAGAGUUGCCUCCUACUGAACCAACACCUGAGCUAUCCCCUUCCUCCCAGCGCUCCUAGCCAGCAGGAAGUAGCCAGAUGGAAUUUAGUGCACUACAUCAUCAAAAAGGCCAGGAUGUUAGGUCGGGUGAGGUGGCUAGGGGAACAAAGCACCAGGCAACCUGUGCAGGAAAGAACAACAAAUCAGGUGCUGACAGACAAGCAGUGAUAGUACCUUAUAACUACCUGUCAAUAAGCAGGGUCUCCUGACCAAUCCUGGAAGGGCAACUCCUGGAGGACAAGGGACUCUAAAAACCUCCCUUUCCUGUCCCAAGCCCUCCAUUCUGCCCUAAGCCAAAUAAAAUUCCAAUCCAGCCCAGCCUGGGUAUGAUUCCCCUGGACCCACUCUGUUGGAAUGGAGGGGCUCACCCAGGAGAAAAUCUCAAUAAAGCCUUGUUCAGCAACUUUUAAUCUGCCUCCUUUUGAUCACUGGCACCUGACCUUAUUACAGGGGUCUCCACUGCAACUUUUGGCUUCCUCCUCAAAUCUCCAUGCUUUGACUUCUCAGGGGCUUCCCACAGGGACUCAGACCCUGCUACACUUUGCCUGGCCUCAAAGGCCUUCAUUUGAAAUCUUGGUAGAAGCCUCCAUGACUCCCUGUCUCCAGCAUCCUGCAUUCCUGCAGAACCAGCACCCCAUGGUUGAUGCCAAGAUCUGCCACCAUCUCAAGAAGUAGCCAAGCCUCCAGGGACCAAGACUGCAGUAGCCUCUGACUGCCUGGGUAGAUGAGCAUGUUGGAUAAACUUCCUAGGCACCCUUGUACAAGAAGGGUGCCCCACUGGUCUGCUUCAAGAGAUUUUUUACUUUUAUUUCCUUGAGCCUGAGGUGGGUGUGGUCUUGCCAGCUUCUGAGGUGCCCUCAAGCUAUCUUUCUUAUUGUCUCUGGGGAGUCUUAAGGAUUUCUUUAGUGGCAGUAAUGUCUUUAACAAUUCAACUUCCUUUGCCCCAGUUUUACUCUUGCCUUUUAAGUUCAACUUUUUCAAAUCUUUCUGCUAUGCUUUCUGAUCCGGAACAUCACAAUAACCUUGGCUAAAAUCUGCCAGCAAUACUCAUGCCAAUUCCUCAAUGGUAUGCUUCCUAGACAUUUCUUCCAUCAGAUUAUGAAGUCCAUCAUUUUUAAAAUCAGAAAGCCUCAGAACACAGGCAUAAGACAGACAACUUCUCAGCCAGAACAUAACAGGAAUUGCCUCUAGUUCAAAUUUCAAUAAAGUUCUCCUCUGAACCCUCUUG
This 5743-nucleotide long non-coding RNA is filed under the name Marmota monax (woodchuck). Lineage: Eukaryota; Metazoa; Chordata; Mammalia; Rodentia; Sciuridae. The record is from RNAcentral.